RNAcentral lists this ribosomal RNA (253 nucleotides) under uncultured bacterium. RNAcentral describes it as "partial 16S ribosomal RNA". It matches the Rfam family "Bacterial small subunit ribosomal RNA", at positions 524 to 776 of the family's 1533-position model. The record is from RNAcentral.
AACGUAGGACGCAAGCGUUAUCCGGAGUUACUGGGCGUAAAGCGCGGGCAGGCGGUCUUGCCAGUCUGAUGUGAAAUCUCUCAGCUCAACUGGGAGCAGCCAUUGGAAACUACAAGACUGGAGUCUGGCAGAGGUAGGCGGAAUUCCGGGUGGAGUGGUGAAAUGCGUAGAGAUCCGGAGGAACACCAGAGGCGAAGGCGGCCUACUGGGCCAGUACUGACACUCAAGUGCGAAAGCGUGGGGAGCAAACAGG